RNAcentral lists this ribosomal RNA (468 nucleotides) under uncultured bacterium. RNAcentral's name for it is "partial 16S ribosomal RNA". It matches the Rfam family "Bacterial small subunit ribosomal RNA", at positions 28 to 507 of the family's 1533-position model. The record is from RNAcentral.
GACGAACGCUGGCGGCGUGCUUAACACAUGCAAGUCGAACGGAAAGGCCCUGCUUUUGUGGGGUGCUCGAGUGGCGAACGGGUGAGUAACACGUGUGUAACCUGCCCUUGACUUUGGGAUAACUUCAGGAAACUGGGGCUAAUAUCGGAUAGGAGCUCCUGCUGCAUGGUGGGGGUUGGAAAGUUUCGGCGGUUGGGGAUGGAAUCGCGGCUUAUCAGCUUGUUGGUGGGGUAGUGGCUUACCAAGGCUUUGAAGGGUAGCCGGCCUUAGAGGGUGACCGGCCACAUUGGGACUGAGAUACGGCCCAGACUCGUACGGGAGGCAGCAGUGGGGAAUAUUGCACAAUGGGCGGAAGCCUGAUGCAGCAACGCCGCGUGCGGGAUGACGGCCUUCGGGUUGUAAACCGCUUUCGCCUGUGACGAAGCGUGAGUGACGGUAAUGGGUAAAGAAGCACCGGCUAACUACGUG